Molecule: ribosomal RNA, 475 nt
Filed under: uncultured bacterium
Lineage: Bacteria
Description: bacterial SSU rRNA
Rfam family: Bacterial small subunit ribosomal RNA
Source: RNAcentral
ACUCCUACGGGAGGCAGCAGUGGGGAAUAUUGGACAAUGGGGGAAACCCUGAUCCAGCCAUGCCGCGUGUGUGAAGAAGGCCUUCGGGUUGUAAAGCACUUUCAGUGGGGAGGAAAAGGUUGUUGGUUAAUACCUAACAGCUGUGACGUUACCCACAGAAGAAGCACCGGCUAACUCCGUGCCAGCAGCCGCGGUAAUACGGAGGGUGCGAGCGUUAAUCGGAAUUACUGGGCGUAAAGCGCGUGUAGGUGGCUUGUUAAGCCAGAUGUGAAAGCCCCGGGCUCAACCUGGGAACUGCAUUUGGAACUGGCAGGCUAGAGUUUUGUAGAGGGUGGUAGAAUUUCAGGUGUAGCGGUGAAAUGCGUAGAGAUCUGAAGGAAUACCGGUGGCGAAGGCGACCACCUGGCCAAUAACUGACACUGAGACGCGAAGGCGUGGGUAGCAAACGGGAUUAGAUCCCCUGGUAGGCUCUGCU